Physcomitrium patens is the source of this 1531-nucleotide non-coding RNA. NCBI's taxonomy places the organism in Eukaryota, Viridiplantae, Streptophyta, Bryopsida, Funariales, Funariaceae. The record is from RefSeq and is a predicted model, not a curated record.
UGUGGUCGAUUUGAUCGACGCAGCGACACCUCCCCUGCAUCACCACGAGGUAAUGCUCUCCUUGUUGCCUCUCUUGGCUGUGGAAUGGACCCUGCGUUUUUUUGGUUAGGUUUUGAAUGUAUUUAAAUUCAGCUCGAGCGUGAAGGAAUACAUGCUUGUGUUUUAAAGCGGAAGGGUUUGGGGAUUGAAGUUGCGGUUAUCUAUUUUGGAGGAGCGACAAAGGAAGUGUGUUGAGGGAGAAGCAGGUGAGACGAAGUUGAAAAAAAUUGGGCAAGAUGUCGAUGUCCAAGACUUCCAAGCUGUUACUAUAUAUAAAUUGGCGGAUUCGGGUCACGAUCCAAGAUGGGAGACAAUUGGUUGGAAAGUUUAUGGCAUUUGAUCGGCAUAUGAAUUUGGUACUUGGUGAUUGUGAGGAGCUACGUCGUGUGCCACCAAAGAAAGGGAAAAGUCAGGAGGAGAAGGAAGAGAGAAGGACCUUAGGGUUGCUACUUCUCCGUGGAGAGGAGGUGAUUUCGAUGACAGUGGAGGGCCCUCCACCACCUGACGAAUCUAGAGCUAAAGCAGCUGCAGCUGUUGCUGGAGGUCCUGGAGUCGGCCGGGCUGCAGGACGUGGAAUCCCCACUGCUCCUCUGAACCAAGCUCAGCCAGGACUUGCUGGGCCUGCAAGAGGGGUUGGUGGACCUGCCCCUGGUAUGAUGCAGCCGAGACCUCAAGUCUCAGCAGCUCCUAUCACGUACACACCCCCUCCUGCUCCCAUUCCCGGAGUGAGGCCCCCAGGUCCUCCACCUCCAGGGCAAUAUGCUCCUCGUCCAAUGCCGGGGCCGCCAGGAGCGCCACCUCCUGGCAUGCGCCCUCCUGGCCCUCCUGGUCAGAUGAUGCAAGGUCCCCCUGGACAAGCACCUCCUCAAGGGUAUGGACAAGGUCCUCCUGGUGGAAGGCCAAUGCCGCCUCCUCCUGGUCCUCCUCCGCAGAUGUCUGGACCAGGCAUUCCAGGUCCUUAUGGACAGCGACCCAUGGGUCCUCCCCCGAUGAUGCGCGGCCCUCCUCCAGGUAUGGGAGGCCCUGGCGGUCCUCCUCGACCUGGAAUGCCUCCUGGCAUGCAGGGACCUCCAAGACCUGGUAUGCCUCCUCCUGGUGCACCCCCUGGUAUGUACGGACCUCGCCCAGGUAUGCCUCCGCAGCAACCGCCGCCGCAGCAGUGAAGCCUCGAUUUAAUUCGAUUCCUGAAGGAUGGAUUCAACCGAUGCGGCUUUUCAGUACGAUUUGUAUCACCAUACGUGCUCUGUUUAUUAGUUUCAAAUUUUCAAUUCCAACGUGAGGAUAAAACCUUUGGUAGACAUCCAGUGCUCCCUUUUUUUUUAUUGCGCGACAGAGAUCAAAUCCAAGGGGAUAGGUAGGGUUUUGCUUAAAACAUCCGUUGGUGAUGACUGUGUGGAGAGUAAGGCUCUUACUAAAGGAUGUGCAAUUACGGCCUUGAUGCCAAUUUUUUUGAUCAAGCCAUUUCAGGCAUCUGGAUUUUGGAUAUUGAAAA